AACACAAACGAAAACACAAUCUGCACAAUCUGCGUCCCAAGCGCGCUGUGGGUGCCCUUGCUGUCAGUGGUCUUUUGGAUUACUCGACAUUUUUGGAAAUGAAAAGGCAACAGGAGUCAGGAGCAGAAAAAAGAAAAAAGAGGAAACAGCGAGAUGAUGCCCGUGCAUCACUUGCAGGGUCAAUGCUGAAAUACGUUCAAGCGGGAGCACGAGGCCAAGAAGAGGACACAGAUGAGGAAGAACCAUCGACAAGUUCACCCAAUCAACCCCAGCCAGCAAGCAGGCAGUCGUCGCUGCCAGCAGAUGUAAAUGACUCCAGAUGUGAUGAUGACCAUGCAGAUGGAGCCGAUGAUCACCAGAACCACGAACAGCUUCCCGUAGUCGCUGCGUGUCUGACUGGGGCGAGAUGGACAGCUGCUGGCAGAGCUGUAGUUCUGGAUGCCCAGCUGAUGAUGCAAACACACACACAAUCAAACAGUAGUUUACACUAGAUGUUUACACAAAUAACACACUUUAUAGCAGAACUAUUUUAUAUUUUGUGCUGUUACAAUUGUUUCGGCUUUGCAAUACACAGACAGUAGUAAAUAUCAAAAGACGUUAGUGGCCAGUGUACCUUAUUUAAAUUUUUCCUGAUUUCUCCCAGCAUGCCCAGCACAUCCUUGGUGGCUAUCACUCCUGGAGGAUGCAACAUGUGGAACAAUGUUAACAUUUAAAAUACAUACACAGUAUUUAAGUAUGUGUUUAUGUUAAGAAGCACUCAACGCACCAUUAAAAGCUUAAA
Molecule: long non-coding RNA, 781 nt
Organism: Eleginops maclovinus (Patagonian blennie)
Lineage: Eukaryota; Metazoa; Chordata; Actinopteri; Perciformes; Eleginopidae
Exons: 3
Source: RefSeq, a predicted model, not a curated record